This 30-nucleotide non-coding RNA is filed under the name Rattus norvegicus (Norway rat). Lineage: Eukaryota; Metazoa; Chordata; Mammalia; Rodentia; Muridae. The record is from RNAcentral.
UACUUGCCUCUUCAACACUGUACAUAAAUC